GACGAACGCUGGCGGCAUGCCUAACACAUGCAAGUCGAGCGAGUUGAUCCCUUCGGGGUACACGAGUGGCGAACGGGUGAGUAACACGUGGGUGAUCUGCCCUGCACUUCGGGAUAAGCCUGGGAAACUGGGUCUAAUACCGGAUAGGACCCUGGGAUGCAUGUCCUGGGGUGGAAAGCUUUUGCGGUGUGGGAUGGGCCCGCGGCCUAUCAGCUUGUUGGUGGGGUGAUGGCCUACCAAGGCGACGACGGGUAGCCGGCCUGAGAGGGUGACCGGCCACACUGGGACUGAGAUACGGCCCAGACUCCUACGGGAGGCAGCAGUGGGGAAUAUUGCACAAUGGGCGCAAGCCUGGUGCAGCGACGCCGCGUGAGGGAUGACGGCCUUCGGGUUGUAAACCUCUUUCAGCACCGACGAAGCGCAAGUGACGGUAGGUGCAGAAGAAGGACCGGCCAACUACGUGCCAGCAGCCGCCGUAA
RNAcentral lists this ribosomal RNA (479 nucleotides) under uncultured bacterium. RNAcentral's name for it is "partial 16S ribosomal RNA". It matches the Rfam family "Bacterial small subunit ribosomal RNA", at positions 28 to 523 of the family's 1533-position model. The record is from RNAcentral.